Molecule: non-coding RNA, 296 nt
Organism: Pelobates cultripes (western spadefoot toad)
Lineage: Eukaryota; Metazoa; Chordata; Amphibia; Anura; Pelobatidae
Source: the annotation of a GenBank genome assembly
AGCAGGUAUAGAUUACAGAUUGCAAUGGACACCAAUACACUAUUGCUUUGCUGAUUGAGGUCAGAGCUUUAAAGAAUAAAUAAAUAAAUGUUCUAUAGCUCGCUAGACCACUGGCUUUUAAUGAACAGUUUGCACAACACUUACAAAAUAGUUUCCUGACCAUUAUGCAUUUACUCAUGGGUUAGCUCCUCCCCUCACAGCAGAAAGGACAGGAAAUAGAACUCUGAAACUGGUAUAAAUAGAUCCUCCCCCUUCCCAUCAGGCAGUCUUUUUUUCCUGUCCUGCACAGCAGUUUG